UACAGAGGGUGCUAGCGUUAUUCGGAAUUACUGGGCGUAAAGCGCACGUAGGCGGCUUGAUAAGUCUGAUGUGAAAUCCCUGGGCUCAACCCAGGACGGUCAUUAGAUACUAUCUCGCUUGAGUACAGGAGGGGAGAGUGGAAUUCCAGGUGUAGAGGUGAAAUUCGUAGAUAUCUGGAGGAACAACAGUGGCGAAGGCGACUCUCUGGACUGUAACUGACGCUGAGGUGCGAAAGCGUGGGGAGCAAACAGG
RNAcentral lists this ribosomal RNA (253 nucleotides) under uncultured bacterium. Its description in RNAcentral is "partial 16S ribosomal RNA". It matches the Rfam family "Bacterial small subunit ribosomal RNA", at positions 524 to 776 of the family's 1533-position model. The record is from RNAcentral.